ACUAUGACCAGGUGGUGACGUAACAUGGGGAAUCCGAGAUGGGGGAAACUCAGUUCGGGUGCUCAUUUUAGCCUGGGGAGCACAAUAAAGGUGGUCACCCUUUUCGGGGUUGGAAUAUAUUCAAGUGACAGAUGUCACACUUGUCCUGGGAGUUCUGACUGCUUUCAUCUUAUGGACCUAUUACCAAGACCACCUGCUCCCUCUCCUUACGAAUGAGAGAAGUGUGACAUGCAGUCAACUGGAGACAGUGAUGCCAGACAUCUGCCAACCAUGAGGGGGCUCUGUUUAAUGAAGACUUGCCUCCACAUCAAUGAGGAUGUGCCCUGGAAUUUCAUCAAGUGAGCAUAACAACAAAAGGCAUACUGAUGGCAUCUUAGCUUCUGACCUGCCUCUGUUCUACACAUCACCACAACUUAUGUGUUGCGCAUUUCCAAUA
Mus musculus (house mouse) is the source of this 436-nucleotide long non-coding RNA. RefSeq annotates it as predicted gene, 39856. The record is from RefSeq and is a predicted model, not a curated record. NCBI's taxonomy places the organism in Eukaryota, Metazoa, Chordata, Mammalia, Rodentia, Muridae. The transcript has 3 exons.